GCCUUAUUGAGACUGGGCUUUCUGCUGCCUUCUAAGCAGUCGGUCGAUGGUUCGAAUCCAUCAGGGGGCG
This 70-nucleotide transfer RNA is filed under the name Synechococcus sp. CC9311. RNAcentral's name for it is "tRNA-Arg(tct)". It matches the Rfam family "tRNA". From Rfam's summary of the family: Transfer RNA (tRNA) molecules are approximately 80 nucleotides in length. Their secondary structure includes four short double-helical elements and three loops (D, anti-codon, and T loops). The record is from RNAcentral. Lineage: Bacteria; Bacillati; Cyanobacteriota; Cyanophyceae; Synechococcales; Synechococcaceae.